This is a long non-coding RNA of Gasterosteus aculeatus aculeatus (three-spined stickleback), 2010 nucleotides long. The record is from Ensembl. NCBI's taxonomy places the organism in Eukaryota, Metazoa, Chordata, Actinopteri, Perciformes, Gasterosteidae.
GGGACCCUGACCGCCUGGGGGAACAAACAGCCGGUUUGGUGGACAUCCUGGUGGGGCUGCUGAUCCCUCAGGGCCCCCUGGACCACACCUUCGAUCUCCCGUCCUGCUGCUCCCACCACACAGGCGGAUGGCAAAAUGGUGCUCCCGGAUGUGUCCUCCACAGGAGGUGCAGACUGACGUGACAGCGCAUCCGGCUUAAUGUUCUUCGACCCUGGUCGGUAAGUGAGCGUAAAGUUGAACCGCCCCAGGAACAACGCCCAUCGAGCCUGGCGCGAGUUGAGCCUGCAGGCAGAACGGAGGUAAGACAAGUUCUUGUGAUCAUACUAUGAAUGGGUGAGUGGAACCUUCAAGCCAGUGUCUCCAUUCCUGUAGCGCCAGCACGACCGGCAGCAGCUCCCGAUUGCCCACGUCAUAAUUCUUCUCCGCAGGGGAGAGCUGGCGGGAGAAGAAGGCACAAGGGUGCAUCUUCUGGUCAGAGACUGUGCGUUGAGAGAGCACAGCCCCCACCCCGGAGUCAGAAGCAUCCACCUCCACAACAAACUGAACAGCAGGGUCAGGAUGAAUUAACACAGGUGCAGAGGAGAACAAACACUUUAGACGAGCAAAUGCCCCCUCAGCUGCCGGUGACCAUAUAAACGGCAUCUUAACCGACUUCAGCUGGGUAAGCGGUGUGGCAACUCGGCUAUAGUCGGAUAAACCUGCGGUAAAAAUUGGCAAACCCGAGAAAUCUCUGAAGUUGCUUUCUUGAUGUCGGAAAGGGCCAUUCGGCCACUGCCUUAACCUUGGCAGGGUCGGCUUUGAUCUGCCCCUUCUCCACAAUAAACCCCAGAAAACUAACAGAGGGAACAUGAAAAUCACAUUUCUCCGCCUUAACAUAAAGUCUAUUCUCCAGGAGUCUCUUUAACACAAUGUUUACAUGUUGUACAUGCUCAUGGAGGUCACGAGAAAAAAAUCAAAAUGUUCUCCAAAUACACAAAUACAAAACGAUUUAACAUAUCCCUUAACACAUCAUUUAUGAGUGCUUGGAACACAGCUGGGGCAUUGGUGAGGCCAAAAGGCAUGACCAUGUAUUCGAAGUGACCCAGGGGAGUGUUAAACCCUGUCUUCCACUCGUCCUCCUCCCUAAUCCUCACCAAAUGAUACGCGUUGUGGAGGUCGAAUUUGGUAAAGAUAGUUGCUUUGUGAAGGGGACCAAAAUGAUCAAAAAUCAAUGAGUGGAAGGGGGUAUUUGUUCUUUACAGUGAUUAAGGCCCCUAAUAUCGAUGCAGAGGCGAAGUGACUCUUUUCAACAAAAAAAAAUCCUGCCCCCAAAGGUGAAGAAGAGGGGCGAAUGAGUCCAGUGGUCAAUGAAUCCGUAAUAAAUUCCUCCAUGGCAUCUUUUUCAGGUCUGGACAAGUUGUACAAUUUACUGGAUGGGUAGGGGGCCCCAGGGAUCAAGUCAAUGCCGCAUUCAUACGGUCUAUGGGGCGGAAGGGAUAGAGCUCGAUCUUUACUGAAUACGUCCAGGAGGUGGUGAUAAACAGAAGGAAUGGGACUGAGAUCCACUGGUUUAGGUGGGGAUGGUGUGGUGGCUAAUGUGGACGGAAUGGCAAAAUGUAGGCAGUGUGAAUGACGAAAUAAACUCCAAUUAGUGAUGGAGACGGUAACCCAGUCUAUGUGGGGAUUAUGCAGUUUUAACCACGGGAGACCCAACACAAAUGGGGAACUUGGAGAAGGGGUCAGAAAUAAAAAAUUUUGCCUCAUGAUGGUUACCGGAAAGUUGCAAAGAAACGGUAAUAGUGCGAUAAGUGACAUGGCCAAGCAUCCUACCAUCCAGUGCAAACACCCUCUUCGGGUGAGGAAGGAGCUGAGAGGGGAUUCCUGACUGGGCAGCGAAAUCAAUGAAAUUAUCAUCUGCCCCAGAAUCAACUAAAAUAGAAAUAGGCAGGGUGGACGGAGUCCAUGAAAUAGUACCUUUAAGGAUCAGGCGGGGAGUAGACGAAACAACGACUGAAUGGCUCACCAAUGCUC